This is a long non-coding RNA of Trichogramma pretiosum, 471 nucleotides long. RefSeq lists it as uncharacterized. The record is from RefSeq and is a predicted model, not a curated record. The transcript is spliced from 2 exons. NCBI's taxonomy places the organism in Eukaryota, Metazoa, Arthropoda, Insecta, Hymenoptera, Trichogrammatidae.
CGGAACACGGCAGUAUUAUCCGAGCCACCGAAGAAACGCUCGUUGACCAGCAGCAGCAGCGGCAAGUCAGAAAAUGUUGGCAGCCAUCGGCCUUUUCAUUAUGUACGGCAUCUUCACGAUCUACGCUGCACUGACGCUCUAUCAAGGCAUCUACGAUCUCUUCGUGUACAAUUAUGGACUUUACUCGAGAGUGGAAAAUUAAAAUUCUUUUGGCACUUACAUAACACACGUCGUGCCAUGCCGAAUGAAAAUAACGAGUGUACAAACGGACGCAAGAGAGAAACAGAGAGAGGGAGAGAGGCAGGUGGAUUUUUUCGCGUUAUCAAUUGGGCAUUCCACGGCCGAGAAACGAGUUUCGUACAAGGUUGCACUGGGGAGGCCUGUCGCAUAUAAUGACCGUAUUAUAACCAAAUAAUGUCUUCACAAAGUAGUCAACAUAGUCAAAUAAAUUCUUCAAUUUUUUCUUCGUUA